UCUUCAACCCGUAUCAGUGUCUUCUUUUUUUUUCUUGAUUUAUCCUUUUUUUUCUUUGUUCUUUAAGUUUCCAUUUAUUCCAACGCAAAAACCCUUCGUCUUUUGUGGUUACACUCCUUUCAUCUUCUUCAUCUCUUGAUCAAAAAAUUCUGGAUUAACAUGGUCGAUGAUGAAAGCAGAUCAGGAGGAACACUCUGAACGGGAAACCACAUAAUACAUGUUCUUUUGCUUGAUGUCUUUGGUAACUUCAGAGAUUUCAAACAAAUACAGUAGAGUGGUAUUUAUGGUUUGCUUUUGCUUCAUGUUUUUAGCCGGCGUAUGGCAUACUUGCCGUGGAAACAACAGUCGAGGGUAUACAAGAAGGAUCAAAUUCUAAGCAAACGAAGACAAUUUGCUUCAUGGACAAUGAUAAAAAAUGAUCAUACUUUAUUUUAGAUACUUCAAAGUCUCAUUAAUAGGUCCCAUUUUAGACGAUAUCAACCAUGUGGAUGCUUUUCAUUUGCUUAUGAAUUUACUAUAGUUAUUUUCACUUAACCAAGUAUUGUGUUGUAAGUUGUAAUAGUCUUUUUAUAGUAUCGUAGUUAUAUUGUAUAAUUUUAGAAUGGAAGCAUGUGGGGGGUCUCUGUGUAAUUAAAUUGGUUGUUGCAGUUUACUUGUACUAGUUACUUACAACUGAUGCUCAUCUGUAUAAUAUUGUUUCAGCUUGUGAUUGUCUC
This is a long non-coding RNA of Cynara cardunculus var. scolymus (artichoke), 716 nucleotides long. RefSeq lists it as uncharacterized. The transcript has 4 exons. Lineage: Eukaryota; Viridiplantae; Streptophyta; Magnoliopsida; Asterales; Asteraceae. The record is from RefSeq and is a predicted model, not a curated record.